This 89-nucleotide small nucleolar RNA is filed under the name Choloepus hoffmanni (Hoffmann's two-fingered sloth). RNAcentral's name for it is "Small nucleolar RNA SNORA3/SNORA45 family (ENSCHOG00000016160.1)". It matches the Rfam family "Small nucleolar RNA SNORA3/SNORA45 family", at positions 45 to 131 of the family's 131-position model. From Rfam's summary of the family: The members of this family belong to the H/ACA class of snoRNAs which are thought to guide the sites of modification of uridines to pseudouridines. This family includes mouse snoMBI-28 and human homologues ACA3 (SNORA3) and ACA3-2 (SNORA45). Lineage: Eukaryota; Metazoa; Chordata; Mammalia; Pilosa; Megalonychidae. The record is from RNAcentral.
GCUAGAGUCCCUGGAGAGAAUUUGCUGAUCUUGAUUCACUGGUGGAGAGGUGAUCAGUUUCCCUGCUAGUGCCUUGAUCAGAAACAUAU